This 524-nucleotide ribosomal RNA is filed under the name uncultured bacterium. Its description in RNAcentral is "bacterial SSU rRNA". It matches the Rfam family "Bacterial small subunit ribosomal RNA", at positions 28 to 545 of the family's 1533-position model. The record is from RNAcentral.
GAUUAACGCUGGCGGCAUGCCUAAUACAUGCAAGUCGAUCGGGUGCAGCAAUGCAUCAGAGGCGAACGGGUGAGUAACACGUAUCCAAUUUACCCCAUAGCGGGGGAUAACUAGUCGAAAGAUUAGCUAAUACCGCAUAACGAUUAAAAUAUCGCAUGAGAAUUAAUUUAAAGAUCCGUUUGGAUUACUAUGGGAUAAGGGUGCGGCAUAUCAGCUAGUUGGUGAGGUAACGGCCCACCAAGGCAAUGACGUGUAGUUAUGCUGAGAGGUAGAAUAACCACAAUGGAACUGAGACACGGUCCAUACUCCUACGGGAGGCAGCAGUAGGGAAUUUUUCACAAUGGACGAAAGUCUGAUGAAGCAAUGCCGCGUGAACGAUGAAGGUCUUUGUAGAUUGUAAAGUUCUUUUAUUUAGGAAGAAAAGCUAGUAAAGGAAAUGUUAUUAGUUUGACCGUACUAUUUGAAUAAGUAACGACUAACUAUGUGCCAGCAGUCGCGGUAAUACAUAGGUUGCAAGCGUUAUC